RNAcentral lists this ribosomal RNA (253 nucleotides) under uncultured bacterium. Its description in RNAcentral is "partial 16S ribosomal RNA". It matches the Rfam family "Bacterial small subunit ribosomal RNA", at positions 524 to 776 of the family's 1533-position model. The record is from RNAcentral.
UACGAAGGGGGCUAGCGUUGUUCGGAAUUACUGGGCGUAAAGCGCACGUAGGCGGGUCGUUAAGUCAGGGGUGAAAUCCCGGAGCUCAACUCCGGAACUGCCUUUGAUACUGGCGAUCUUGAGAUCGGAAGAGGUGAGUGGAAUUCCAGGUGUAGCGGUGAAAUGCGUAGAUAUCUGGAGGAAUACCGGUGGCGAAGGCGGCAUCCUGGACCGGCAUUGACGCUGAGGAGCGAAAGCCAGGGGAGCAAACGGG